RNAcentral lists this ribosomal RNA (253 nucleotides) under uncultured bacterium. RNAcentral describes it as "partial 16S ribosomal RNA". It matches the Rfam family "Bacterial small subunit ribosomal RNA", at positions 524 to 776 of the family's 1533-position model. The record is from RNAcentral.
UACGAAGGUGGCAAGCGUUGUUCGGAUUUACUGGGCGUACAGGGAGCGUAGGCGGUUGGAUAAGCCCUCCGUGAAAUCUCCAGGCUUAACCUGGAAAGUGCAGAGGGGACUGUUCAGCUAGAGGAUGGGAGAGGAGCGCGGAAUUCCCGGUGUAGCGGUGAAAUGCGCAGAUAUCAGGAGGAAUACCGAUGGCGAAGGCAGGUCUCUGGGCUGACACUGACGCUCAUGCACGAAAGCGUGGGGAGCAAACAGG